UAAUACGUAGGGACCAAGCGUUGUUCGGAUUUACUGGGCGUAAAGGGCGCGUAGGCGGCAUGGCAAGUCACUUGUGAAAUCUCCGAGCUUAACUCGGAACGGCCAAGUGAUACUGCCGCGCUAGAGUGCGGAAGGGGCAAUCGGAAUUCUUGGUGUAGCGGUGAAAUGCUUAGAUAUCAAGAGGAACACCUGAGGUGAAGACGGGUUGCUGGGCCGACACUGACGCUGAGGCGCGAAAGCCAGGGGAGCAAACGGG
This 256-nucleotide ribosomal RNA is filed under the name uncultured bacterium. Its description in RNAcentral is "partial 16S ribosomal RNA". It matches the Rfam family "Bacterial small subunit ribosomal RNA", at positions 521 to 776 of the family's 1533-position model. The record is from RNAcentral.